Molecule: long non-coding RNA, 1195 nt
Filed under: Numida meleagris (helmeted guineafowl)
Lineage: Eukaryota; Metazoa; Chordata; Aves; Galliformes; Numididae
Description: lncRNA (ENSNMEG00000018491.1)
Source: RNAcentral
ACUGAUAAUGAGUGAAUGUUCAUGUGAUCUGUUACACAACACUAAGCUCUUAUUUCACUGUCUGCAGUUAUGUUCAGCCUUCAAACUCCUCUUGGUUGGAGAUGGGAAAAGGGGAUGGAAGCCAAAUGGACAGAUUCAGAGGAGAGGGUAAAGAGACCAGCUAGAAGCCUACAGGGAUCUUUCUCCCAGAAUGAGUGAGGCUUAAAAAAAAAUUUAAAAAAAGAUAUGUUUUGUGGAGAUGGUGUCUCCAAAUGCCCUCAUGAAGUCAGUUUUCCAGCUGAAAGCAUCAUGCAUGGAGAAAUUGAAGGAGCUCCAGAAACUGUUGAGCGGCCAGAAGUGUUUCAGGUGUUCCCUGCUCUCCAGAACACACCUAUACAAGCUGUCCAAGCGGCCGGUACAGUUCAAGGGAGUGUUGCCAGCAGUACAGGUUCAAUGCAUACAUACACAACAUUAACGGUGUGCAUUCUGCUUCCCACAGCUGCACAGCUCUCAUUGCCCACUAAUGGUAUAGUUCCUUGAAGAUGUUCAUACAAGUCAUAUCCACACUAACAUUGCAAAUAGGUGCCAGCCUGCAGGUAGUGUACAAAGACUGCUUGCCCUAUUUCACUUAUAAGCAGUUUGUUUAGAAAGAUGCUAUAUUUUAUUCCAAAUUUAACUUUCCAAAGGAUUUUAAAUUUCUCCUUCUUUUAAAUGUGUUUAAAAUAUCCUGUCUAGAAAUUAUCUGGUACUGCUGAUAUUUUGUUCUACUGAGCUAUUGUUUUCAUUUUGACUUGUCUUUUCCUUUCUUUUGAAAUAAGACUCAGACUAAAUACCAAAAUUCUUUCACUGCAUAUAAUGGCUGAGUGCACUAAAAUAUAAAAACCUUGAUUUAAGUAUUUUUGUAUUCAAAGAUCAUAGGCAAGUGUUCAUUUGAAGGUUCAGUGGCAUUUUGAAAUGAGAACAUCAUAUAUAAAGAUGUCAGAGAUGGAGCCUCCCACAGUGAGGUUGAAAGCAAAAGAAGAACAGAAUGAAUAGAAGAGUUUCUAGGUUCCAAGGAAUUUUAACAUCUCAUUACUUUAGAUUACUCUACAUAUAAUUUUCAAAUAUUUUGUAUUAUAGACUUCGAAUGUAUUGGUUAAAAUUACUUCAUGCCUGACAUCAAUUUAGUCUUAUUCAUUAUCUCCCUUAAAUAAAACCUUAAAAAUAGCUGGUUUCA